RNAcentral lists this long non-coding RNA (869 nucleotides) under Vulpes vulpes (red fox). Its description in RNAcentral is "lncRNA (ENSVVUG00000000269.1)". The record is from RNAcentral. Lineage: Eukaryota; Metazoa; Chordata; Mammalia; Carnivora; Canidae.
AUGAAAAAGCCUUCGAGCCCACUGUCAAAUGCUGCAAAUCCUGCGUUGACUGUCUUUCAACCUCACUGUGGCAAUUUAUUCCCACUCUUGUGCCCACCUCGACCCUUCAGACAGAGGGACGCCUUAGGCUCACCAAGGAAAAUGGCAAAUAGUGGAAAGAUGACAAGGAUGAAACUUUCCUGCUUUAGGACGGAAAGAAGACUUAUGAACAAGAGCUUUGACAUACUGAGUCAUAACCUAGGAAACCAUAAAGAAUCUUCUAAUGAUUCUUUUUUCAGAUGUAUUGCUACUUUAUCCCCUUCUUUUGAAAAGGAGCUGAAAAGAACCAUAAUAUAUCCAAAUUUUGAGAAGUUAGCACUGAGAUCCACGGAAUAAAUAUGUCAUUCAAAGGUAUAAGCACUUCAAUUUCCUUCUGAAUCACCAUAUAGCAUUCUGAAAUCACUGUGUGGACAGGAACCAACAGCUCUUGGCUGGUUAGAGCCUGAAACCAUCUGCUUCCCUAGUUCUCCCAUGUUGCUAUCCCCGACACUUUCUAGUUUCCUGGUCAGGGGGGACAAAUUCUUCUUUAUAUUCCAAUAUUCCUCCCACGCACUCCACAUGUUUUCAAAAUGCCUUCUGUCAAAUGCAGACAUUAUUGAAAUGACUUAUCAAGUGAGGUGGGCAGGCAGAGCUAGCAUCCCAACUCUAGUGCUUGCCUAACAGGAGUGUGCACAUCAAUUCCACACCCUGGCUUAAUAAUAGACUUCACAAUGCCCUCUCUCCUUAUAACUAACUCUCACUCCCUCCAUCUUGAGGUCACAGUUUUGGAAGAAAAGUCUAAAAGUCUUCCCCUUCACCUGCUCAUCCCUCUUCCUCUUCAAAUAUUUUCC